RNAcentral lists this ribosomal RNA (465 nucleotides) under Vreelandella stevensii. Its description in RNAcentral is "partial 16S ribosomal RNA". It matches the Rfam family "Bacterial small subunit ribosomal RNA", at positions 338 to 795 of the family's 1533-position model. The record is from RNAcentral. Lineage: Bacteria; Pseudomonadati; Pseudomonadota; Gammaproteobacteria; Oceanospirillales; Halomonadaceae.
CCUACGGGGGGCAGCAGUGGGGAAUAUUGGACAAUGGGCGAAAGCCUGAUCCAGCCCUGCCGCGUGUGUGAAGAAGGCCUUCGGGUUGUAAAGCACUUUCAGUGGGGAAGAAAGCCUUGGGGCUAAUACCCUCGAGGAAGGACAUCACCCACAGAAGAAGCACCGGCUAACUCCGUGCCAGCAGCCGCGGUAAUACGGAGGGUGCGAGCGUUAAUCGGAAUUACUGGGCGUAAAGCGCGCGUAGGCGGUCUGAUAAGCCGGUUGUGAAAGCCCCGGGCUCAACCUGGGAACGGCAUCCGGAACUGUCAGGCUAGAGUGCAGGAGAGGAAGGUAGAAUUCCCGGUGUAGCGGUGAAAUGCGUAGAGAUCGGGAGGAAUACCAGUGGCGAAGGCGGCCUUCUGGACUGACACUGACGCUGAGGUGCGAAAGCGUGGGUAGCAAACAGGAUUAGAUACCCGAGUAGUC